UACGUAGGGUGCGAGCGUUAAUCGGAAUUACUGGGCGUAAAGCGUGCGCAGGCGGCUUUGCAAGACAGAUGUGAAAUCCCCGGGCUCGACCUGGGAACUGCAUUUGUGACUGCAAGGCUAGAGUACGGCAGAGGGGGAUGGAAUUCCGCGUGUAGCAGUGAAAUGCGUAGAUAUGCGGAGGAACACCAAUGGCGAAGGCAAUCCCCUGGGCCUGUACUGACGCUCAUGCACGAAAGCGUGGGGAGCAAACAGG
RNAcentral lists this ribosomal RNA (253 nucleotides) under uncultured bacterium. RNAcentral describes it as "partial 16S ribosomal RNA". It matches the Rfam family "Bacterial small subunit ribosomal RNA", at positions 524 to 776 of the family's 1533-position model. RNAcentral also lists the same sequence under 1 other name. The record is from RNAcentral.